GAACUUGAUCAGCAGCUGGUUAACUUAUCUACUCUAACCAGUACUGCUAUGGUGCUCAAUAUAUAUAACCUAAAUUCCAAAACUGAAAUCGCCAAUGCCAGCACUCAGGGUAGGUAUUACAAGAAACAAAGACCAAAUUGAGGUGAACUGACCGAGAAAUUGUCGGAGAUGGUCUGGCGGUUGAGCGAGGCCUCGAUGGUGGUGGCGAACUUGUAGAGGAAGAGCGCGAUGACCCCAGCCGCAAUCCCGCCGAGCAGCGCCUGCACGGGAGACGGCUGCUUAUCGGUUUCCACGGGCGUGGUGCUCACCAUCCGCAGCGCCUCCAGGGCCUCCUCGCU
Molecule: non-coding RNA, 338 nt
Organism: Lolium perenne
Lineage: Eukaryota; Viridiplantae; Streptophyta; Magnoliopsida; Poales; Poaceae
Source: RefSeq, a predicted model, not a curated record